This 496-nucleotide ribosomal RNA is filed under the name uncultured bacterium. RNAcentral's name for it is "partial 16S ribosomal RNA". It matches the Rfam family "Bacterial small subunit ribosomal RNA", at positions 29 to 507 of the family's 1533-position model. The record is from RNAcentral.
AUGAACGCUGGCGGCGUGCCUAAUACAUGCAAGUCGAGCGAACAGAUGAGGAGCUUGCUCCUCUGACGUUAGCGGCGGACGGGUGAGUAACACGUGGAUAACCUACCUAUAAGACUGGGAUAACUUCGGGAAACCGGAGCUAAUACCGGAUAAUAUAUUGAACCGCAUGGUUCAAUAGUGAAAGACGGUUUUGCUGUCACUUAUAGAUGGAUCCGCGCCGCAUUAGCUAGUUGGUAAGGUAACGGCUUACCAAGGCAACGAUGCGUAGCCGACCUGAGAGGGUGAUCGGCCACACUGGAACUGAGACACGGUCCAGACUCCUACGGGAGGCAGCAGUAGGGAAUCUUCCGCAAUGGGCGAAAGCCUGACAGAGCAACGCCGCGUGAGUGAUGAAGGUCUUCGGAUCGUAAAACUCUGUUAUUAGGGAAGAACAAAUGUGUAAGUAACUAUGCACGUCUUGACGGUACCUAAUCAGAAAGCCACGGCUAACUACGUG